This 253-nucleotide ribosomal RNA is filed under the name uncultured bacterium. Its description in RNAcentral is "partial 16S ribosomal RNA". It matches the Rfam family "Bacterial small subunit ribosomal RNA", at positions 524 to 776 of the family's 1533-position model. The record is from RNAcentral.
UACAGAGGGGGCAAGCGUUGUUCGGAAUUACUGGGCGUAAAGGGCGCGUAGGCGGCCUGCUAAGUCGAACGUGAAAUCCCCGGGCUCAACCCGGGAACUGCGUCCGAUACUGGUGGGCUUGAAUCCGGGAGAGGGAUGUGGAAUUCCAGGUGUAGCGGUGAAAUGCGUAGAUAUCUGGAGGAACACCGGAGGCGAAGGCGGGUUACUGGGCUGAUACUGACGCUGAUGCGCGAAAGCUAGGGGAGCAAACGGG